GAUGAACGCUAGCGAUAGGCUUAACACAUGCAAGUCGAGGGGUAACGUGUUGGAAGCUUGCUUCCGAUGACGACGACCAGCGGAUGGGUGCGUAACGCGUAUGCAACUUGCCUCACAGUGGAGAAUAACCCGGAGAAAUCCGGACUAAUACUCCAUACACUCUUAAGUACGCCUGUACAUGAGAGGAAAGAUUUAUCGCUGUGAGAUAGGCAUGCGUCCUAUUAGGUAGUUGGUGAGGUAACGGCUCACCAAGCCGACGAUAGGUAGGGGUGCUGAGAGGCAGAUCCCCCACAUUGGGACUGAGACACGGCCCAAACUCCGACGGGAGGCAGCAGUGAGGAAGAUUGGUCAAUGGAGGAAACUCUGAACCAGCCAAGUCGCGUGAAGGAAGAAUGUCCUUAGGAUUGUAAACUUCUUUAGCGAGCGAGUAAGGACUUCCACGUGAUGGGAGUUUGAAAGUAGCUCGAGAAUAAGUAUCGGCUAACUCCGUG
RNAcentral lists this ribosomal RNA (491 nucleotides) under uncultured bacterium. RNAcentral describes it as "partial 16S ribosomal RNA". It matches the Rfam family "Bacterial small subunit ribosomal RNA", at positions 28 to 507 of the family's 1533-position model. The record is from RNAcentral.